Molecule: long non-coding RNA, 233 nt
Filed under: Olea europaea (common olive)
Lineage: Eukaryota; Viridiplantae; Streptophyta; Magnoliopsida; Lamiales; Oleaceae
Description: long non-coding RNA (OEUR_LNC009120)
Source: RNAcentral
GAACUUUACCAACGUACUCGAUCCGUCAAAAAAUUUGAUAUUGAAACUCUUGUUACUAAUUUAACAACGAAUUUCUUACGGUAUAUUAAUGACUAAAAAAACCUUCAACAUUUACUAAUAACUAUUUUUGUAGCUAAUAAACAACGAUUUUAGCAACAAAUUUUUCGUUAGAGUAAUACUGAAUUUUCUUAAUAUAAGAGUAGUAGAAGUUUAAAAUUAUGCUACUCGUUGAC